UGGGGUGUGCAGUACUUCCACAGGUGCCACGGAUCCGGAGCCUGAUGUUGCUGCUGAAGAGCAGAGCGAUCAAGCUCCCCCAAAGGGACAUCUAGAGGGCCUUACUCAUCAGGUGCACAUGAGUGUUCUGGACGACAUGGUCUCCUUUUCGGCAUGUGCAAGUGUCGGGUGGUGCUUGCCUACAUGGUUUACGGCAAGCUGCAGUUCAGGAUCUCCAGGCCUAAGAAAGUUGGAAGUGCGAAGACGUGAAGAAAAGCGCUAAGCCGUGAAGUGCUACUCAGCAAAGAGUUGUCUGCUCUAUUUACUAUAAUAUUGUAAUAUUGUAAUAGCUAGUAUACCUGGGUUGUAAUAGUCUACUGAAAUUGUAAGACACUAAUCUAGUGUUAUUUGAUGAAUUUCACAUGUUCUCUUAUUUGUUUGGAAUAUUUGAUUAUGAAUGUGAUUUGAUAGUGUG
Long non-coding RNA from Triticum dicoccoides, 454 nucleotides. RefSeq lists it as uncharacterized. The record is from RefSeq and is a predicted model, not a curated record. The transcript is spliced from 3 exons. NCBI's taxonomy places the organism in Eukaryota, Viridiplantae, Streptophyta, Magnoliopsida, Poales, Poaceae.